GAGCUGACGCAGCCACGCCGCGUGCCGGAUGAAGGCCCUAUGGGUUGUAAACGGCUUUUGAGGAGGAAGAACGACUGGAUUUCGAUCUGGUGUGACGGUACUCCUUGAAUAAGCACCGGCUAACUCCGUGCCAGCAGCCGCGGUAAUACGGAGGGUGCAAGCGUUGUCCGGAAUCAUUGGGUGUAAAGGGUGCGUAGGCGGGCUAUUAAGUCUGGGGUGAAAUCUUGCCGCUUAACGGUAAAAUGGCCCUGGAUACUGGUAGUCUUGAGUGUAGAAGAGGUAAGUGGAAUUCGUAGUGUAGCGGUGAAAUGCAUAGAUAUUACGAAGAACAUCAGUGGCGAAGGCGGCUUACUGGUCUACAACUGACGCUGAGGCACGAAAGCGUGGGGAGCGAACAGGAUUAGAUACCCUGGUAGUCCACGCUGUAAACGAUGCAUACUAGGUGUUGGCCUUUCGGGGCCAGUGCUGCAGUUAACGCAUUAAGUAUGCCACCUGGGGAGUACGUCGGCAACGAUGAAACUCAA
RNAcentral lists this ribosomal RNA (524 nucleotides) under Balneola sp. RNAcentral's name for it is "bacterial SSU rRNA". It matches the Rfam family "Bacterial small subunit ribosomal RNA", at positions 380 to 904 of the family's 1533-position model. Lineage: Bacteria; Pseudomonadati; Balneolota; Balneolia; Balneolales; Balneolaceae. The record is from RNAcentral.